UUAGGCAAAAGAGCAGCGCUUGGCCCCCACCGCGGGGGCCAGCGCACCCCUCGCGCGAGGGCGGCUCUUGCCCACACGCUGUGGCAAGUAGCGCCGGCAGCUACUGCCUUGCAGACUUCAGGAGGGGCGGCGGCUGGGGGGUCCAGGUACCCCAAGGCCCCCCUCUCAGAUCGCUAGAGAAGGCUUUCUCACCGAGGGCGCGUCGUGCCCCACACACCAUCGCUCGCCCCUUCGGGGACCCACGGGAGUGGGAACACUCCCAAAAAGUGGGAAGUCAGAAGGGGGGGGGGUCUGCGGUAUGGGUAAAGCACACAGCCCAUGUGAGCGUCCACGGUCAGAGCCGGGAGGGCAAGAGUCUGUGCUGCCACCAGGCUUGCCUUUCAGACUUUUCCACGUGGGUGGAGGGAUGCCACGUCCGGAAAGCCAGACGGGGACCCCCCCUUCACAUCUCCCGGCCCACCGCGGUCGCUCUCACGCCCACAUGCAGCCUUCCCGGUCAAGGGAGAAGGAUGGGGCGUGCCGCUCAAGGGCCAAGGGCUUCCCUCACUGGCACACAGUGAGGGAGACCCCAUGGCAAGGGGUCCACCUGAGCCCCUCCCGGGGAGGGGACACAAGCUUCCCCUGCCUUACCGUCUCGACCCCCUCCCCUGAGCUUUAGGAAGCUGCUCGUGGGGCACGCCACCACCACAGUGGGGACCCGAGGGGACUCACCGCUGGGAGAGGAAAACGACACCACCGCUCGGCCUCGGGCAUCUGACAGGCAACCCGGAGUACUCCAGGGGCACCACAGAGGACCAGGGGAGGCACGCUCACGCACCCGCAGGGAUGCGAAGCAUGGCAGCGAGGGAGGCCUCCCCCCCACUUUGGGGAGGGACCGCUCGCAAGGCACACGCCAAGGCGGCAAAGCGAGAAUGCCUGCUGCGUCCCAAAGGACCCAGGCCCCCCCCCCUGACUGACACCCGAAGGCAGCAGGGCGGGAGACCAGAGGUCAGGCUGGAGGCCGCACCCCUGCCUUCCCCCACACCACCCGCAGGUGGGGGAGGAGCAGCGAGGGGCCCGCGACAGAAUGAGAGGCGCGGCCCAGCUCACCAUGAGCGGCCAUCCCUCAUCUGGCGCGGCUUAAGCCCAAGCCCAGGAGAGCGCCACAUCACCACAUCGAUCAGUCCUGGCAGAGCCAGGGAAGAGCCCAGAAGAGGGGAGGGAGGAACGCCUGACACGUGGCACGGAGCCAACAGGGUGGGGUUGUCCCAGCCGAGCCGCCGGGUGCCCGCAGCAGGGAGGCACACAGGGUAGAAGACCCCACAGGGCCACGCGCCCUGCCGCCCUCGGGUCAGCCAGAGACCGGAGGAGACACCGCAGCACGGGCCAGCUGGAUGCACAAGUGAGAGCCGGCGCACAGGCCCAGGCGAGCGGCCCCCACGCGGGGUGCAAAGGGCAGGGUCAGGCCUUGGACAGCAGCCGAAAGCCCAAAGCCCCCCACGUGCAUCCAGA
Molecule: long non-coding RNA, 1491 nt
Filed under: Sus scrofa (pig)
Lineage: Eukaryota; Metazoa; Chordata; Mammalia; Artiodactyla; Suidae
Description: lncRNA (ENSSSCG00015032243.1)
Source: RNAcentral